Molecule: ribosomal RNA, 769 nt
Filed under: Cronobacter sakazakii
Lineage: Bacteria; Pseudomonadati; Pseudomonadota; Gammaproteobacteria; Enterobacterales; Enterobacteriaceae
Description: bacterial SSU rRNA
Rfam family: Bacterial small subunit ribosomal RNA
Source: RNAcentral
AUAUAGGUCUAAUCUACACAUGCAGUCGUACGGUAACAGGAAGCACUUGCUGCAUUCGCUGACGAGUGGCGGACGGGUGAGUAAUGUCUGGGAAACUGCCUGAUGGAGGGGGAUAACUACUGGAAACGGUAGCUAAUACCGCAUAACGUCUUCGGACCAAAGUGGGGGACCUUCGGGCCUCAUGCCAUCAGAUGUGCCCAGAUGGGAUUAGCUAGUAGGUGGGGUAACGGCUCACCUAGGCGACGAUCCCUAGCUGGUCUGAGAGGAUGACCAGCCACACUGGAACUGAGACACGGUCCAGACUCCUACGGGAGGCAGCAGUGGGGAAUAUUGCACAAUGGGCGCAAGCCUGAUGCAGCCAUGCCGCGUGUAUGAAGAAGGCCUUCGGGUUGUAAAGUACUUUCAGCGGGGAGGAAGGUGUUGUGGUUAAUAACCACAGCAAUUGACGUUACCCGCAGAAGAAGCACCGGCUAACUCCGUGCCAGCAGCCGCGGUAAUACGGAGGGUGCAAGCGUUAAUCGGAAUUACUGGGCGUAAAGCGCACGCAGGCGGUCUGUUAAGUCAGAUGUGAAAUCCCCGGGCUCAACCUGGGAACUGCAUUUGAAACUGGCAGGCUUGAGUCUCGUAAAGGGGGGUAGAAUUCCAGGUGUAGCGGUGAAAUGCGUAAAGAUCUGGAGGAAUACCGGUGGCGAAGGCGGCCCCCUGGACGAAGACUGACGCUCAGGUGCGAAAGCGUGGGGAGCAAACAGGAUUAAAUACCCUGGGUAGU